ACAGCAGUCGCCACGGUAAAACGGAGGGUGCAAGCGUUAAUCGGAAUUACUGGGCGUAAAGCGCACGCAGGCGGUCUGACAAGUCAGAUGUGAAAUCCCCGGGCUUAACCUGGGAACUGCAUUUGAAACUGUCAGGCUGGAGUCUUGUAGAGGGGGGUGGAAUUCGAGGUGUAGCGGUGAAAUGCGUAGAGAUCUGGAGGAAUACCGGUGGCGAAGGCGGCCCCCUGGACAAAGACUGACGCUCAGGUGCGAAAGCGUGGGGAGCAAACAGGAUUAGAUACCCGUGUAGUCCUGUCUCUUAUACA
This 305-nucleotide ribosomal RNA is filed under the name uncultured bacterium. RNAcentral describes it as "partial 16S ribosomal RNA". It matches the Rfam family "Bacterial small subunit ribosomal RNA", at positions 505 to 809 of the family's 1533-position model. The record is from RNAcentral.